This 514-nucleotide ribosomal RNA is filed under the name uncultured bacterium. RNAcentral's name for it is "partial 16S ribosomal RNA". It matches the Rfam family "Bacterial small subunit ribosomal RNA", at positions 28 to 523 of the family's 1533-position model. The record is from RNAcentral.
GACGAACGCUGGCGGCAUGCCUAAUACAUGCAAGUCGAGCGGUCAGAAGGGAGCUUGCUCCCGAAAGUCAGCGGCGGACGGGUGAGUAACACGUGGGCAACCUGCCCCUUAGAUUGGGAUAACUUCGGGAAACCGAAGCUAAUACCGAAUAAUACAAAGAACCUCCUGGUUCUCUGUUGAAAGAUGGCCUUUGUGCUGUCACUAAGGGAUGGGCCCGCGGCGCAUUAGCUAGUUGGUAAGGUAACGGCUUACCAAGGCGACGAUGCGUAGCCGACCUGAGAGGGGGAUCGGCCACACUGGGACUGAGACACGGCCCAGACUCCUACGGGAGGCAGCAGUAGGGAAUCUUCCGCAAUGGACGAAAGUCUGACGGAGCAAUGCCGCGUGAGUGAGGAAGGCCUUCGGGUCGUAAAGCUCUGUUGUGAGGGAAGAACAAGUACCGGCGUAACUACCGGUACCGUGACGGUACCUCACCAGAAAGCCACGGCUAACUACGUGCCAGCAGCCGCGGUAA